AGCCUGAACGCUGGCGGCGUGGCUAAGACAUGCAAGUCGUACGGUGUAGCAAUACACAGUGGCGAACGGGAGAGUAAUGAACCGCUAAUGUGCCCCGGACUCUGGGAUAGCCAGUUGAAAGAUUGGGUAAUACCAGAUGAUAUAUCUUUAUCGCAUGAUAGAGAUCUCAAAGGUCCGCCGGUCUGGGAGCAGGCGAUUUCGUAUCAGCUAGUUGGUGAGGUAACGGCUCACCAAGGCGACGACGCGUAGCCGGACUGAGAGGUUGGCCGGCCUCAUUGGGACUGAGACACUGCCCAGACUCCUACGGGGGGCUGCAGUAACGAAUCUUCCGCAAUGCACGAAAGUGUGACGGAGCGACGCCGCGUGUGGGACGAAGUCCUUCGGGAUGUAAACCACUGUCAGGGGUUACCAAGUUCUGAGGAGCCCCAGGAGGAAGGGACGGCUAACUCUGUGCCAGCAGCCGCGGU
This 467-nucleotide ribosomal RNA is filed under the name uncultured bacterium. RNAcentral's name for it is "SSU rRNA". It matches the Rfam family "Bacterial small subunit ribosomal RNA", at positions 26 to 521 of the family's 1533-position model. The record is from RNAcentral.